Molecule: ribosomal RNA, 253 nt
Filed under: uncultured bacterium
Lineage: Bacteria
Description: partial 16S ribosomal RNA
Rfam family: Bacterial small subunit ribosomal RNA
Source: RNAcentral
UACGUAGGGUGCGAGCGUUGUCCGGAAUUAUUGGGCGUAAAGGGCUCGUAGGCGGUCUGUUGCGUCAGGAGUGAAAACUCGGGGCUUAACCCCGAGCCUGCUUCUGAUACGGGCAGACUAGAGGUAUGCAGGGGAGAACGGAAUUCCUGGUGUAGCGGUGAAAUGCGCAGAUAUCAGGAGGAACACCGGUGGCGAAGGCGGCGAUCUGGCCCAACAUUGACACUGAGACUCGAAAGUGCGGGGAUCAAACAGG